This 481-nucleotide ribosomal RNA is filed under the name uncultured bacterium. RNAcentral describes it as "partial 16S ribosomal RNA". It matches the Rfam family "Bacterial small subunit ribosomal RNA", at positions 28 to 506 of the family's 1533-position model. The record is from RNAcentral.
GACGAACGCUGGCGGCGUGCCUAACACAUGCAAGUCGAACGGAACUGUUUUGAAAGAUUUCUUCGGAAUGAAUUUGAUUUAGUUUAGUGGCGGACGGGUGAGUAACGCGUGAGUAACCUGCCUUCAAGAGGGGAAUAACAUUCUGAAAAGAAUGCUAAUACCGCAUGACAUAUCGGAACCACAUGGUUUUGAUAUCAAAGAUUUUAUCGCUUGAAGAUGGACUCGCGUCCGAUUAGUUAGUUGGUGAGGUAACGGCUCACCAAGACCGCGAUCGGUAGCCGGACUGAGAGGUUGAACGGCCACAUUGGGACUGAGACACGGCCCAGACUCCUACGGGAGGCAGCAGUGGGGGAUAUUGCGCAAUGGGGGCAACCCUGACGCAGCAACGCCGCGUGAAGGAUGAAGGUUUUCGGAUUGUAAACUUCUUUUAUUAAGGACGAAAAAUGACGGUACUUAAUGAAUAAGCUCCGGCUAACUACGU